UAAGCAGCGUUAGUUAACAAUUACAUAGUGAAACUGCGAAUGGCUCAUUAUAUAAGUUAUCGUUUAUUUGAUAGUUCCUUACUACUUGGAUAACCGUGGUAAUUCUAGAGCUAAUACAUGCUAAAAACCCCGACUUCGGAAGGGGUGUAUUUAUUAGAUUAAAAACCAAUGCCCUUCGGGGCUCACUGGUGAUUCAUAAUAACUUCUCGAAUCGCAUGGCCUUGCGCCGGCGAUGGUUCAUUCAAAUUUCUUCCCUAUCAACUUUCGAUGCUAGAGUAGUGUUCUAGCAUGGUUACAACGGGUAACGGAGGGUUAGGGCUCGACCCCGGAGAAGGAGCCUGAGAAACGGCUACUACAUCCAAGGAAGGCAGCAGGCGCGCAAAUUACCCAAUCCCGACACGGGGAGGUAGUGACGAUAAAUACUGAUACAGGGCUCUUUUGGGUCUUGUAAUUGGAAUGAGUACAAUUUAAAUCCCUUAACGAGGAACAAUUGGAGGGCAAGUCUGGUGCCAGCAGCCGCGGUAAUUCCAGCUCCAAUAGCGUAUAUUAAAGUUGUUGUGGUUAAAAAGCUCGUAGUAGAACCUUGGGCCUGGCUGGCCGGUCCGCCUCACCGCGUGCACUGGUCCGGCCGGGCCUUUCCCUCUGUGGAACCGCAUGCCCUUCACUGGGUGUGCCGGGGAAACAGGACUUUUACUUUGAAAAAAUUAGAGUGCUCCAGGCAGGCCUUUGCUCGAAUACAUUAGCAUGGAAUAAUAGAAUAGGACGUGUGGUUCUAUUUUGUUGGUUUCUAGGACCGCCGUAAUGAUUAAUAGGGACAGUCGGGGGCAUCAUUAUUCAAUUGUCAGAGGUGAAAUUCUUGGAUUUAUUGUAGACU
RNAcentral lists this ribosomal RNA (874 nucleotides) under Colletotrichum gloeosporioides. RNAcentral's name for it is "SSU rRNA". It matches the Rfam family "Eukaryotic small subunit ribosomal RNA", at positions 60 to 937 of the family's 1831-position model. Lineage: Eukaryota; Fungi; Ascomycota; Sordariomycetes; Glomerellales; Glomerellaceae. The record is from RNAcentral.